GACGUAGGGCGCGAGCGUUGUCCGGAUUUAUUGGGCGUAAAGAGCUCGUAGGCGGCUUGUCGCGUCGUCCGUGAGAACCUGCAGCUCAACUGCAGGCUUGCGGUCGAUACGGGCAGGCUAGAGUUCGGUAGGGGAGACUGGAAUUCCUGGUGUAGCGGUGAAAUGCGCAGAUAUCAGGAGGAACACCGGUGGCGAAGGCGGGUCUCUGGGCCGAUACUGACGCUGAGGAGCGAAAGCGUGGGGAGCGAACAGG
Molecule: ribosomal RNA, 253 nt
Filed under: uncultured bacterium
Lineage: Bacteria
Description: partial 16S ribosomal RNA
Rfam family: Bacterial small subunit ribosomal RNA
Source: RNAcentral